This 753-nucleotide ribosomal RNA is filed under the name uncultured Glomeraceae. RNAcentral describes it as "SSU rRNA". It matches the Rfam family "Eukaryotic small subunit ribosomal RNA", at positions 338 to 1092 of the family's 1831-position model. The record is from RNAcentral. Lineage: Eukaryota; Fungi; Glomeromycota; Glomeromycetes; Glomerales; Glomeraceae.
GGCCUACCAUGGUGGUAACGGGUAACGGGGUGUUAGGGCACGACACCGGAGAGGGAGCCUGAGAAACGGCUACCACAUCCAAGGAUGGCAGCAGGCGCGCAAAUUACCCAAUCCCGACACGGGGAGGUAGUGACAAUAAAUAACAAUACGGGGUUCUAAAGGAUUUCGUAAUUGGAAUGAGUACAAUUUAAAUCUCUUAACGAUCAACAAUUGGAGGGCAAGUCUGGUGCCAGCAGCCGCGGUAAUUCCAGCUCCAAUAGCGUAUAUUAAAGUUGCUGCAGUUAAAAAGCUCGUAGUUGAAUUUCGGGGUUAGUAGGUUGGUCAUGCCUCUGGUAUGUACUGAUCUCACUGAUUCCUCCCUCUUGACGAACUGUAAUGUCAUUAAUUUGGUGUUGCGGGAAAUCAGGACUGUUACUUUGAAAAAAUUAGAGUGUUUAAAGCAGGCUAAGGCUUGAAUACAUUAGCAUGGAAUAAUGAAAUAGGACGUUUGAUCCUAUUUUGUUGGUUUCUAGGAUUGACGUAAUGAUUAAUAGGGAUAGUUGGGGGCAUUAGUAUUCAAUUGUCAGAGGUGAAAUUCUUGGAUUUAUUGAAGACUAACUACUGCGAAAGCAUUUGCCAAGGAUGUUUUCAUUAAUCAAGAACGAAAGUUAGGGGAUCGAAGACGAUCAGAUACCGUCGUAGCCUUAACCAUAAACUAUGCCGACUAGGGAUCGGAUGAUGUUAAUUAUUUAAUGACUCAUUCGGCGCCUUACG